AAAUUAUAUAAUUUUAUUACAUAAUUUGUAACUGCUUUUUAAAAAGCACUUAUAGGGGCUGGCCCCUUGGCCGAGUGGUUAAGUUCACGUGCUCCGCUGCAGGCGGCCCAGUGUUUCGUUGGUUCGAAUCCUGGGCGCGGAUGUGGCACUGCUCAUCAAACCACGCUGAGGCGGUGUCCCACAUGCCACAACUAGAGAGACCCACAACGAAGAAUAUACAACUAUGUACUGGGGGGCUUUGGGGAGAAAAAGGAAAAAAAUAAAAUCUUUAAAAAAAAACAACCCACUUAUAUUGUUGACAUCUUCCAUAUAAACAAACAUAGCUUCACGUUGUCAUCUUCAUAAACUGCAAAAUAUCCCAUAAUAUGGAUGUACCUUGAUUUAGUUAAUUUCCUACUGAUAAAUGUUUAGGUUGACAAAUUUUCACUAUUAUAAACAAUUCUGUGAUGACCUCUUAUACAUAUUUUUGGGCACAGAUCUUAUUAUUUACAUAGCAUAAAUUCCCCCAAAUUUCUGAGUCAAAGAAUAUAAAUUUUAGGGGAGGGUUGAAUAUAUUCUGCUGAUUGCUCUUCAGAAAGGACUAUAUGUGGUGACUUUCAGUGUUUUUUAACAGCAUGUCCUAGUUCUGAAUUUCAGUAAGGAGUCCUUGAUUACUAAUGUAACCUUGCUGUUCCUAACAUCUAGAUUAGAAAGGAUCUUUACAAAAAGUUUCGUACAGUAAUUUGAAUUUUUUUGCAGAGCCUUCUUCACUUUGUUUGAAAGUACUUGGUGAUCACAGUGUAUUAUUUACUACUUUGUGACUUUUGCAAGCUUCAGCUAACCACAAACAUGACUCUCCCUGACGUAUGUCUUUUUCAAUUCAGUGGCAAGUGCAUUUUCUCAAUUCUAUCGAACUGUGUCUUUCCAAACCUUCAGGAUUGCCAAGAUGAGUUAGGAAGAAACAGGAUCUGGAUCUGUUUCCUAUAAAAGUGUCAAUAUUUGCCAAAACAAAGAGCAGGGAGUACCCCCAAUGGAAUGCCAUCUGUCCUUGUCUUUGAGAGCGUGCUGGAAGAUCUUUUCACAGCCAAGAGAUGAUUAUUUGGCAUAACUGAUACUGAAAAUCAACAAGGUGGCUUACAGAUCAGAAACUGGCUGAUGUAAAGACAUACUUUGCUAUGUGAAAACUGGAAGUAUAGAAAUGUGUUUCGUUUUAGAAUCUAUAAACUAGGGAUUGUUUACUUUACCAAAGUAUUUCCCACAGGAACAUUUUAAUCAGCAGGAUCACCUGGUUGAUUUAAAUAUUCCGAUCAUUAACAAGUCAUUUUGUUGCACAGCCUUUUAAGAAAUGAGCAGCUGAUAAGAUGAGACAUAAUUCCCCUCUUAUGGUUCCAUUAUUUCAACCACACUGUUUCUUAAGCAGUUAAGCUCAUCACUUUCCUCUAUCACUUAUGGAAACUCAGUUUGGUUGCAGUUUUAGGGCGGAGGCAUAACGCACAAGGCCCAGCUUCUGAAGUAUGGUCAGUUGCCUGACCUGAGUUCCAAAGGGUGGUCUUAGCUGCCUGGUUUCUCCUUUGGAGAAUACCCAGAUUCCUUUGAACGGCAACCCACAGAGUAAUUCAAGAGAUCGUCUUGGGUAGCAGUGAAAUUCUUUAAAAUUCAUUUGGCAGGUUUCAGGCUCCAUUUCUCCUCCUACAGAGUAUUGCUCAGUGGGGUGUUUGCCACUCAGAACUUCUAAUCCGUCUGUGUAUUGUCCAGCUAGUGGCGUUUGCAGUCCACUUGGGGCAGACAGACAAUAAACAAAUAAUUUGUCAGGGAGUGAUAAAUGCUUAAAAAAAAAAUAAAGCAGGGGAAAAGGGAUAAAGAGGAAGAGAGAGGUGGUAUGUGUGUGGGUGCACACAUCUGUGUUACAGAAGAAGGUAGAUAGGGAAAGUCUGACCUGAAGCAGAUGAGGGAGAGAACCACAAAGUUAACUCAGGGAGAGAGUAUUCCAAGUAGCGAGAAUAGUAAGUUCAAAGGCCCUGAGGCAGGAGAGUACCAGCUGUGUUCAAAGAAUAGUGGGGAGGCCAGUGCAGCAGGAAGGGAGAGCAGCAUCAGGUGCCAAGUCAUGCUGGAUAUCACGGACCAUGGUGAGAAUUUGUAUUUUACUCUGAGUAGGAUGGGGAACUGCUAGAGGAUUUUGAAAAGAAAUUAACACAUGCAAAACACUUAACACACUGCAUACAGUAAGUACUCAAAAAAUGCUCACUUUUAUUUUACUUUCCUUGACUCUAAAGGUAAUCUCCAUUCUGCUUUAGAAGAAUAGUAUUUUCUUUUCUAAAUGUGGCAGAAAGGCUGGAAAGCAAAUGAAAAAUUCCUGGUCUUACAAUCUUUAGGUCCGAUUUUAGCAUUCUACAUCUCCACAGGUUUGAUUAUGAGAAAGUUACCCCAUGUUCAAGAUUUUAGGUCCUUCUUUUCCAUUCUGCUGCUCAGCAGUAUGUUUUUUUAAAAAACUUCUUGUUAUGGACAUUUUCAAAUUUAGUACGGAAGUAGAUGGGACACCCAGCCUCAGGCAAGUAUCUAUUCAUGGCUAAUCGUGUUUCCUCUAUACUGCCAUCUAUUUUCCACCCCUUCCUUACAAUGAAUUACUUUACGGUAAAUCCCAGACAUAGCUUUUUAUCCAUGGAUGCUUCAGUAUGUAUCUCUACACUCUUUCUUUACCAUAAUACCAUUAUCAUGCUUACAGAUUUAACGAUAAUAUCAUCAAAAAUCAAGUCAGUAAUUAGAUUUCCCUGGUUGUCUCAUUAAUGCUUUUUAAAAAUAGUUAAUUUGUUUCAAUCAGAAUCCAAACAUGGUCAUACUUUCCAUUUGGUUAAUAGGUCUUGUAAAUCUUUUAAAAUCUGUUCACCUUCCCUUUUUUUUUUUCCUUUUCUUUUCUUUGUUGGAGAAACCUGGUCAUUCGUUCCUUAGAUGUCCCUUGUUUUGGGUUUUGCUGAGUGCCUCCCUGUGGAGUUGUUGCAUGUGUUCGUUUUUCCUAUAAACUGGUGGUUAGUUCUAGAGACAUAAUCAAGUUGGAUUUUUUGGCAAGACUGCCUCAAACGAGGUGCUGUGAGCUUCCUGUUGCACCCCAUCAGGAGGCAUGUCCUGCCUAGCUGCUCUCUCUCCUCCAAUUUACCAUUUUAGCCAUAUUAAAGUGUACAAUUCAGUGACGUUUACUACAUUCACAAUGUUGUGCAACAUCACCACUCUCUAAUUCCAGAACUUUUCCAUCACCCCGAAAAGAAACCCUAUACCCCUUCAGUAGUCACUCCCUGUCUCCCCUCCUCCUAGUCCCUAGCAGCCACUAAUCUGCUUUUUGUCUUUAUAGAUUUUGCUAUUUUAGAUAUUUCCUAUAAACGGAAUCAUGUACUACGUAGCCUUUUGUGUUUGGCUUCUUUCACUUGGUGUAAUGUUUUCAAAGUUCAUCCAGGUUGGAACAUGUGUCAGUACUUCGUUCUUUUUUAUGACUGAAUAGUAUUUCAUUGCAGGCAUAUACCACAUUUUAUUUUACCCAUUCAUCAGUUGAUGGACAUUUUGGUUGUUUCCGUCUUCUGACUAGUGUGAAUAGUGAUGCUAUGAACAUUCAGGUACAAGUUUUUGCUUGAACACCUGUUUUGUAUUCUUUUGGGUGUACACCUAGGAGGACCUCCCUUUCAGUGAUGUUAUCAGUGGGUUCCCUUGGCGUCAGUCUCAUCCAUACAUGAUGAUGUUCCCUGUGGGCCUUUCAUCUAUGGAUUUUAGCACCAUUGCUGAUCACUGCCAAUUCCAGUAGGGUUUCAACAGCAUGGUUUUCAUGGAGGUCAAGGUGGUCUAACCAUUUUAUUUUCAAUUCACAUUAAAGCACCACUGGGCAACCACAUUUAUGCGAUUUUCUGAGGAGAAGAAAAAGAGAGAGGGAGGGAUUGGUGACCAAAAAGUGUGGGGGAAGCUGCAUACGAUGGAUCCCUCUUGCUGCAGAUUCCAGUGCCCACUCACAUAUUAAGGCCCCUGGGAAGUUCUGCAGAAAAGAAGACUGUUUAGCUUCGUUUAACUCUGUAUUCCCCAAGUUUAUUUGACUACAAACUUUUUUUCUUUAUAAUUCUUAUUAUUAUCCAUUCAAAUAUACUUUGGAGAAUACUGUUUUAGGGUCUAGGUUACUUAAAAGAACAUUACUUAUUAAUAUAUGCAUGUGUUUCUUUUUAAAAUUUUUUUUUAUUGAGGUAACAUUGGUUUAUAGCAUUGUAUAAAUUUCAGGUGUAUGUCAUUCUAUUUCACCUUCUGUAUAGACUGCAUUGUGUUCCUUACCAAAGUCUAGUUGCCAUUCAUCUCCGUACAAAUGUCCCCCUUUACCUCUUUCUCCCUCUUCCCACUCCCCCUUUCUGAGUGGUAACCAGCAGUCGAUUCUCUGUAUCUGUGUGUUUGUUUGUCUUCCACAUAUGAAUGAAAUCAUAUGGUAUUUGACUUUCUUCAUCUGACUUAUUUUGCUUAGCAUGAUACCCUCAAGGUCCAUCCAUGUUGUCACAAAUGUCAAGAUUUCAUCUUUUUCUUGUGACUGAGUAGUAGUCCAUUGCAUAUAUAUGGAUACCAAGUAUUCUUUAUCCAUCAUCCAUCAAUGGACACUUUAUUAGGUUGUUUCCAAGUCUUGGCUGUUGUAAAUAAUGCUGCAAUGAACCUAGAGGUGCAUAUAUCUUUUCAAAUUAGUAUUUUCAUGUUCUUUGGCUAAAUAUCCAGAAGUGGAAUAGCUAGAUCAUAUGGUAGUUCUAUUUUUAAUUUUUUUGAGGAAUCUUCGUACUGAUUUCCAUAGUAGCUGCACCUAUUUAUAAUCCCACCAGCCAUUAAUGAGGGUUCCCUUUUCUCUAUAUUCCCUCCAACAAUUGUUAUUUCUUGUCUUUUUAAUAAUAGUGAUUCUGAUAGGCAUGAGGUGAUAUCUCAUUGUGGUUUGAUUUGCAUUUCCAUAAUAAUUAUUGAUGUUGGACAUCUUUUCAUGUGCCUGUUGGCCAUCUGUAUAUCUUUGUAAAAAUGUCUGUUCAGAUCCUCCCAUUUUUUAAGCAGGUUGUUUGUUUUUUUGUUGUUGAGUUGUAUGAGUUCUUUAUAUAUUUUGGAUAUUAACCCCUUAUUGGAUACAUGAUUGGCAAAUAUUUUCUCCCAGUUGAUGGUUGUCUUUUCGUCUUGUUGAUAGUUUCCUUUGCCACGCAGAAGCUUUUUAAUUUGAUGAAGUCCCAUUUGUUUAUUUUUUCUUUUGUUUCCCUUGUCUGAGGAGACAUAUUAAAAAAUGUACUGCCAAGACUGAUGUCAGAGUACAUUGGCUGUGUUUUCUUCUAGGAGUUUUCUGGUUUCCAAUCUUACAUUUAAUCCCUUUUGAGUUAAUUUUUCUGUAUGGUGUAAGAUAGUGAUCUGCUUUCAUUCUUUUGUGUGUAGCUGUCCAGUUUUCCCAACACCGUUUAUUGAAGAGACUUUCCUUUCUCCAUUGUAUGUUCUUGGCUCCUUUGUCAAAAAUUGGCUAUCCAUAAAGGUGUGGGUUAUUUCUGGGGUCUCGGUUCUGUUCCAUUGAUCUAUGUGUCUGUUUUUCUGCAGUACCAUAUGCAUGUGUUUCUUAGCUGUCUGGCACCAACCUGACAGUCUCCUGAAGCUUAUAUUCACUUAGUGGCCAUAAACUGACUGUAUUCUUAUAAAAGCCCUGGGCAGCAGAAUUGGCAAUAUGUCUGGCAAAGCUUCACUUAGAAACUCUGAAUUGAGAUUAUGUCCCUGGGGAUGAAUGCUUGAGCCAACAAAGAAUAUGUCAGUUUUACUUGUCACCUCCAUCUUAUAGUGUUUGAUGGACAUUUGUGAUAAACCUUAGAGAAGUGCCGUAUGGAUGUGUACCCAAGGACGCCAGUGGUACUUAUAGUUCCUCUCUCUGCUCUUCAUUGCUUUACUCCACACAUCCUCCAAACCACAUCUAGGGUGGCUAUUCCACCUUAUGUUUCCCGGAUCAUACUGCUGAGGACUCUGUCUCACCACCUACACAGUCAGCGUGGUUAGAUGAGGCUAAACAUGGAGGUCAAAAUGGAGAGAGUAUCUGGCGGAUUCCUUGGUUGACUUUCCGAGGUCAGGGACCUGACAGUGCUCCUUUCAUAUGGCCUUUAGGAAGAAGAGUCCACUUGAAUAUGUUUCACUUACAUAAGUGACACAUGAAACUUGAUAAGUUUGCUUUUAAAAAGCUCUUAUGAGUCAGCUAGCUGUGCAGAGUGCUGACUGAGUGAUCUGCACCUUUGAGAUUGGAAGCAGAAGAUGGUGCCUGCCAGAUAGAUACUUUUGGUUUUUGUGAGGAGAAAGGUGGUGAGAUGCUACUAAGGCCAAACACGUGACUGCCUCCUUCUUAUGACAGUCUCCCGACAUGGUCUCAGGGCCGAGUCUAGGUACUGCCCCAAACCGUAUGUUCUGAGGGGAGAAGAGAUUCCACAAUAGAAAGAAGUUGCCUCAAGAAUGAGAGGACAACUUCAAACGUACUGUCAAUAAUUCAUCAAAUGACAGUGAGAAAGCACCUGGUUCAGGUCAUGCCGAGCAGCCAACAGAUCCUGGGCCAAGAACACCAACGGCAGAAGGAAGCACACCCGAGCCAACUUGCUCAUGAGCUGAAAUAUUCAAAUGUGGAUACAAGGCAGUUACCUAAUUCUUGCACCUGUUCUGAAUCAGCACGCACUGUAAUGUUGAACCAAGAUUUGACAUGAUGCCAGUGACGGCAGCAGAAGCAGAAAAUUUGCAGUGACACCACCCAAAUGGUGCCAGGGAAGGGACGAAGAGAACCCACUGGGCUCUGCCAUCAGCUGUGGAGGACUUUCCGAAGCCUUUCUCCUACUUGCAGGGAAGACUUGGGCCGAUGCCUGGCUUCCUUGGAGUAGCUUGCUAAAUAAAUUGGCAUGGACCCACAUUUAAAAAUUUGCCAGCUAAAGAUGUUUUAGGUGUGUCAGUGGGGUUUUGGUUUCAUGAUUGCUGCUAAGAAAGUUUGAGCAACUCACAUACAAUUUCACUGAUUUAAUUACUGCUUAGAAAGGAAAUUACCAGAUUUAGGAGCCUAGGAAAAGACAUCAGCAUCAUGCCUCACAUUUCUCAUGGUGUUCAAGCGAGAGUCAGUAUUGAUCAAAACUUUUCGUCUGCCUCCAGCGGUUUUAAAGUGACAUGUAAUUAGCUGACUUAUUUUGUGGUCCCUUCUUCAUGACUGUGUGUUGGACAGUAUCAAAAGACAUCUGCCUGUGGCUGUUUAUAGGAAUCUCGAAGCUCAGUGUCUUUUGGUCUUCUAUAAAAGGUAAUUGAAGAACUUUUGUUUGCAGAAUAUGGAAGUGCUUUAAAAUGCUUGUGGGAGAAAAUCUUGAAAGGAUGGUAGACCCAUUUAUAGGAGAGGUGGCAAACUGUGACCUGUCUGGACUUUAGAAAAAAAAUGUAUGCAUCUGUUUGAAGCAGCUUUUUAUAAGUGGAAUGCAUGACUUACUUUAUAAAUAGUAAAACCUAAGCCUUGGAAGCAGUUUUGAUUCUCCAGGGACCAUAACUUAUGUUAAAAGGGCGAAUAUGGUUCAUGAUAAGAUCUGAAUGGGUUAUGGAAUAAUUAGACAGAAAACCCAACUCAAAAUAAAUGUUGACUGAGGUUCUAAGACUGAGCAUCCCUCUGGCAGGUGGUGUGUCUACCAUGUGGAUGUAUUUGAACCACCAUCACAGAGUGGGAGAGGAUCUUAGCUGUCAUCUUCUCUACCUUCCCCAGCUUCCAGAUGGGAACCUUUGACCAUCUAGAUGGUUGAACAUGCCCAGGACCUCACAGGCAGCCUAUCUCAUGGGUGCCUGCCCAGAUCCCCUGUAGCCUCUAACCACUGUACAUGUUCUCUGGAACUUCCCAGAGUAAAUCCACUUCUAUAAGACAGAUUUUCUAAUAGCUAAAGUUAGGUCUCAUGUGUCCCUAACUCACCCUUUUCCUUUCUCAGACUGAUUCUGUGGAUCUGGAUCCUUCUGCAGUUGUUCACUUAAUCAAAGAGGAUGAACUUCCUAGAGAGAAGAGAACAGUGCUUUAGCCAAGCAAAGAGCAGUAGAUGUGCUUCUGAACUAGACUCUCCAAAGACCCCAUGAGCACUUUUCCAGGCCAGCACCCCAUCGCAUCCUGCUUUUCCUCCCUUUCAGUUUCAAGACCUUUUGGCAUCCUGGAGGUCUACCACCAGCUGGCAUCCGUUAGCCAGUGGUCUUAAAAGGGAUGCCUAGCAAAGGAAUGCAAUACGGCCGGUAUAGUCUGGUCAGAGCUCGCUUUUCUGGGCAGUAUACUUUUAGAUCGUUAAGUAAGUUGAGAGAUUCACCCACCUUCUUUGGGCUUUAAUUUAUUUCCUGAACAUCUUUUACAAAUUAUUAUUUUCAAGAUGUAAACUACAUAAAAUAGUACCACCACUUUGGAAAACAACUUGGCAUAGUAAAGUUCACCCAGCAAUUCCAUUUUUAGGUAUCUUCUCUACAGAAUCUCUUGCAUGUGUGUACCAGGAGACAUGUAAAAGAAUGUUCAUAGUAGCAUUGUCUGCAAUAACAACAAAAACAAACAAAUGAACAAAACAACUGGAAAUAUCCCAAAUGUCCCUUGACAGGAGAAUGAAUAAAUGAAUUGCUCAUGCAUUUUUUUAUUGUGGUAAAAUAUACAUAACAUAAAAAUUUACCAUUUUAACUAUUUUUAAGUGUACAGUUUUGUGGUAUUAAGUUUAUUCACAUUGUUGCGCAACUGUUACCACCAUCCAUCUCCAAAACUUUUUCAUCUUCUUCAACUGAAACUCUGUGCCCAUUAAACACUAACUCUCCAGUCCCUUCUCUACCCAGCCCCUGGCAACCGCUGUUCCACUUUCUGUCUCUGUUAAUUUGCCUGUUCUGUGUACCUCAUAUAAGUGGAAUCAUACAAUAUUUUUCCUUUUGUGACUAGCUUAUUUUACUUGUCUGACGUUUUCAAAGUUCAUCCAUGUUGUUGCAUGCAUCAGGAUUUUCUUCCUUUUUAAAGCUGAAUAAUAUUCUGUCGUUUAUAUAUACAUAUCGCAUUUUAUUUACCCAUUUGUUGAUGAAUGCUUGGAUUGCUUCGGCCUUUGGCUCUUGUGAAUAAUGCUGCUAUGAACGUGAGUGUAAAAAUAUUUGGUUAAGUCUCUGCUUUCACUUCUUUUGAGUAUGUACCCAGAAGUGGAAUUGCUGAUCAUAUGGUAACUCUGUUUUGAGGAAUCAUUCUAUGUACUGUUUUUCACAGUGGCUGCAUCUGUUCAUUCAUUCAUUCAUUUUUUUUUUUGUACUGCCUGUAAUAUUCUAUAGUAUAACUAUAAUGUAAUUUAUCAGAUAUUGCCAAACUUUUUUCUAAAGUGAUUUGUUGAUAUAUUUACCUACCAGUAGUGUAUGAAGAGUUCCUAGUAAUCUACAUCUUUACCAACACUGAGUUUUAUUGGGUUUCUUCAUUUUUGCCAAUUUAGUGGUUUUUCGGUGAUUAUCUUACCAUAGUCUUAAUUUUUAUUUCCCUGAUUACCAUUGCAAUUACUCAUAAUUUUAUAUGUUUGAAAGCUUUGUUUUUCACAUAGACAUCUUUAAUCCAUUAAGAAUUAAUUUUUGUGUAUGAUGUAUGAUAGGGGCCUAAUUUCAUUCCUUUCUACGUGGAUAACCAAGUAUAUGGGUUCCAUCUUUUUCCCAUUGCCAUUCAUCUCAUUUGUAAAGUUUCCAUGUAUGUUUGGUCCGCCUAUGAGCUCUCUAUCCGUUCACUUGGUUAAUUUGUCCACCUACAUUAAUGGCAUCUGUUUUCUUUACCAUGAGGUGAUAAUGAUGUAUUGAGACUGAUGCUGGGUUAAUUGGGCAUUUAUUGUCCAGUAUUGUAAUUGCACCUGGUUAUGGACUAGGUGGGGUUAGAGUUGGCCUGCUGGCUGACUAAAGUAUGGUCCGUGCAGUCAUGGGGCUCUCAGACACGUAUUUCAAUCCUGAUGAUGCAAGGUGAGAAGUGUGGUAAUAGAGGAAUGGCUGAAGUGCUAAUAAGAAGAAAUGAUCAAGGAAACAACUAAUUCCAGUAUGAAGGCAUCCAGGAGGGUAACAGUCAGGGAGGUUGACCAUUUCAAAUAGGAAGUAUAUGAUAUCAUGGUUGAGAGCCGAGUUCUAGAGGUAGACAAACUCAUAUUUGAAUGUGUGACCCUGACAAAUUCUUGAGACCUCACUGAGGCUCAGCUUCCGUAUCUAUUCAACAAGGGUAAUAAUAAUACCUCCCUCAGAAGGUUGUUGGGAAGAUAAAAACAGACCGUGUAUCAGGAGCACUUAGCCGAGUGCCUGACACAUUGGAAGUACUCAGUAAAUGUAAACCUAUUAAUUAAUUCAUUCAAUAAUAUUAACUGAGCACCCACUGUCUGCCAGACAUGGCAAAAGGCUAUAAAUGCAAGUAUGAGCAAAACAAAUGGUCUCUACCCUCACGUAGCUUUCAGUCAAGUGGGAUAGAUAGAUGCUCAUAAAAUCAUCACACAAAUAUAUCAUUAGAGACUUUGACGAGUACUAUAAAGGGAAAUUAUGGCCAACUAGGACAGAACAGAAGAGGGAAACCUGACUUAUGAUUAUUAUUUUUAUUAUCACGACUUCUGAGCUGGGACUUGAAGGAUGAGUGGUUUAUGGGCGUGGCAGGCAGGCAAGGUCAUUCUGGGCACACAGAACUUCAAAAGAGAGGGCAUGGAGAUGUGGAAGUUUUACAUCAGGUCAAGGGCAAGGGCCUGGGCACCCCUCACUUCCUGCCCACCUUUCCCAGAGGACAGGCAGGAGAAGGAGGUUGAGUGAUUACCUCUGGCCCCUAAACAUAUAUUGCGGCUCAAUGAACUCCCAUCUUUGGUCACUGUGAAAAGUUAUUCUCAGCGCCACUGACCAGCUCCUUGGCAAUAACAGACUGAAAAUGAAUAGUGAAAAUGGCUCAGGGGAGUUGGAUAACAAUGAAGUCUUUUUGACGUUAAUGCUGGUCAAAAAAGUAUCUAGCACCCGCUUCAGUUGGGCAUUCCAAAGCUCAAAGAUAAAAAGAAGUGCUCAGAGAAAAUAAAGUUAAAGCUUUUUCCGAGACAUCUGUGAGGCAUUUUUACAAGCUGAUGGUGAGUACUGUUUUCCAUUUAGAGUAGAUGUGGCAAAGCGUUAUAUUUGCAAGAAGGGAAAAAUAGAUGAUUGUGAGGGGUUUUUCUGGAACAAGUACAAUUCAGUAGCUCUCAAAUUGUAGUGUAUAUCAGAAUUCCCCCUGGAAGCCUGUUAAAAAUUUAGACUCCCUGGCCAUCCCCAAGACUCAGUAGGUGUUCCUGGGCCUAGGGCUCUGUAUUUUUAACUAGCUGCUAGAGGACACCCUUUGAAAAACCUUGCAGACUUAGUAUCUUUAACUCUUUCCUUUCUUUUAUCUUUGUUUGCAAAUUCUUUUAGAAGAGUCUCUGAACAGGCUUUCUUUUGCAUUCCCCCUUCCCUGACCUCACUGUCAGCUGGGGGUCCCAAGCACAAUUGCCUGGGCAGGUCUCAUGAAUGUGCGAAACUGGGAGGGUAGGAGAAUAGGAAUUAAGCUGGUUGGGCGGCCAGCCUAUCUGUCUAGUCACUCGGCUUUUCUAAACAUUGUGCAAGCCAAGAACACAUCCCUGAGAGCUUUUUGCAUCUCAGUGCUGCCUGUUGGCCACCCAACCACCCAUUCAAACAAUUGUGUAGAAGAUAAUGGUGCAGGUUCUGGACUCAGCCGACUUCAGCUGGAGUCCUAGCUCCACCACUUCCUAACAGGUAAUCUGACGAGUUCCUGAACCCCUUCAAGCCCUUCUCUUCUCAUUUGUAAGACUGGGCUUGGCUCAUCUGGCUUUUGCAAGGAUGUAAAAAGGUAAUACAUGAAUAUGUCAGGUACAGGGGCUAGCCAUUUGGGGACUUAGGUGAGUGAGAUUAAGUAGAGUGAACAGGUAAAAUUGAAGGGAUAUUUCUGUGCAUUGUCACAGACUGUGGAGAGCAACAGGCAGACAUCCAUCUCAUUGUCCAGCACACAGCCCCUCUCAUUCUGCCCUCUGUACUUUUUUGUCUAAUUGAGGUAUAAUUAACAUAUGACAUGAUAUUAGUUUCAGGUGUAUAACCUAAUGAUUCAAUAUUUGUAUAUAUUGCAAAAUGAUCACCACAAUAAAUCUAGUUAACAUCCGUCACCAUACAUAGUUACAGAAUUUUUUUUCUUGUUAUGAGAACUUUUAAGAUCUACUCUCUUAACAACUUUCAGAUAUGCAAUACAGUAUUAUUAACUAUAGUGGCCAUGCUGUCCAUUACAUCCCCAUGAUCUAUUUAUUUUAUAACUGGAAGUUUGUACCUUUUGAGCACCUUCACCCAUUUGCCCCCCGACCCAACCCUACCCCCACCUCUGGCAACUACCAAUCUAUGAGCUAGGUUUUUUUUAGCUUCCACAUAUAAGUGAGAUCAUAUGGUAUUUGUCUUUCUCUGUCUAACUUAUUUCACUCAGCAUAGUGCCCUCCAGGUCCAUCCAUGUUGUAGAAAGUGGUCAGAUUUCCUUCUUUUUUAUGGUUGAAUAAUAUUCCUCUGUAUAUAUACAGCACAUCUUCUUUGUCCAUUCAUCCAUCGAUGGGCACUUACAUUGCUUCCACUUCUUGGCUGUUGUGAAUAAUGCUGCAAUUAACAUGGGGGUGCAGAUAUCUUUUCAAAUUACUGUUUUUGUUUUCUUUGGAUAAGUACCCAGAAGUGGAAUUGCUGGAUCAUAUGGUAGUUCUACUUUUUAGUUUUUGAGGACCCGCCAUACUGUGCCCUCUGUACUUUUGCAGUUAUUUCUCUUCCGAUAAACUUCCAUUGUCUCCACACCCGUAUACAUUUAACCAAAUUAUUUUCAGAGCUCAACUGAAGUCCCACUUCUGGGAAACCUUUCGCUGUGGCAAUAACUUCAGCUCCCACUAAUGUUUCUUUCUCUAGUUUACUAUCGCGAUUUUCAUCCACAUCUGUACCAGUUAGGUUCCGAUUGCGUUCUGCCUUAUGGGUGUGUUUUGUCAUUUCAUCUAAAACAGACUCUUGGAGGUCUGGGUAGAUAUUUUGCUUCCAAUAACUGCAGGAAAAACCUAUAUAUGUGAAAGGGCGAUAUAAGUUAGCAUUGACCAACUUAAAGUAAUUUUUUUUUUUUGCUUCAUAAAGAGCCAAGGCUUUGAAUUUUCAUAUAAUUCUCACAUAUGAAUUCUCAUAUAAUUCUCAAAGAAUCAUGCAUUCUUUGUAUCCGAUUUAUUCAGUCAUGUAUUCCUGUGCAUUAUAAAUACAGAAGUAUGAGAAAUGCAUUAGCAACCUAGAUCUGCCUCUUUCUCCUCAGUACACACCAAACACACACACACACACACACACACACACACACACAAAGGAGGGGAAUUGAGGGCCAAGAUUAUAAUACGAUAUUGGUACUGGGCCGUUAAUCUCAGCAGUUCUCACCCCUGGCUGGUUUCCUCUCUCCUCUGAUGUGCAAACGUGCUGAUCAGGGAGGUGUAACCCUCACUUGCAACCCUUUCCUGGUUGGUGGUGGAUGGAUCUGGAGGCUGCUUGAGGCUGUCCUUGUCACUGCCCCCCUGUGGCUCCACUCUGAGAGGGAGGCUUCUCGCCCGGUUCUUUAAACAUUUUGAUUAGAGACUCUUCUCUUCCCACCCCAAACAGAGGAACACUCUCUCUGAGCAACAGUGUUCUCAGCCAGCAGUGGACAGUCUGCACUGAAUGUGCUCACAGCUUCCCAGGGGCUGGGCUGGGCUCAGGGUUGUGGUGGGACACACCCCUGUGCACUUGUCUUUACCUUCCUCUUUUGUCUUGAAAUAAAACACACAGCUUUCAAAUUUCCUGUACGUUAGUUUUUUCUCUUCUGGGGACACUCUCUCCAAAGGGCGGCUUUCAGGGCGCUUAACCUUGGGAUCUGGGGGCUAGAUUUUUGUUCUCCAACUCCCUUCCCUUUUCCACCUGGGAAGUGCACAGUCUUUCAGGCACUGCGACCUCUAGAGGCUGGUUAUGGCAUCCCAGUUAAAUCCAGUGAAAUUUCUCAUUACAUUUUUUUUUUUUAAGGAAGAUUAGCCCUGAGCUAACAUCUGCUGCCAAUCCUCCUCUUUUUUGCUGAGGAGGAUUGGCCCUGAGCUAACGUCUGUGCCCAUCUUCCUCUACUUUAUAUGUGGGACGCCUGCCACAGCAUGGCUUGCCAAGCAGUGCAUAGGUCCACACCUGGGAUCUGAAGCGGCGAACCCUGGGCUGCCGAAGUGGAACGUGUGCACUUAACUGCUGCACCACCAGGCCAGUUCCUCAUUACUUCUUGACCCCAAAUAAAAUACCCAAUGUAGGCAGCCUGUGGUGAAGUGGGUCAGGGAAAGGGGUGAACCUUGUUUGAAAGUUACUGUUUCUCUCAGAAGAAAAUUCUUGGCUUUAACUCCAACAACCAGUUUCUCUAGUACACCUUCAGGUGAAGUUGGACUGCCCUGUCAUGCAACUUUCUGAGACCCAAACCACCUAAUUUUCACAGUCUGGAUUCCUUGUUUGUAUUGAGAGAAUCUCUCCAUAGUUUGUCAAACCCUGAAGCUGGCUUGAUUUCUAGGCUGGCUUGAUUUUAUCCUUUAGAAAACAUCUUACUCAAUGGGGAAAAAAAAGCCAUGACAAUCUUUCACCCUCCGUGGAUAUGUCCUCAUAAACUCAUCCACUGGCAGCACAACUUUUUGUUGUGGUCCUCUGGUAGAUGAGUGAAAAGAACCUGAGGCUUUGCAAAGUUCUCAGGAGGAGGAAAUUGAGGAGGACCGGAGAUCUCCAGACCUGGCCUUUGCUGGAGAACAGGGGCAUUUCCCAGGACCAUUUCUCUGCAAAACGUGGCUCACAGCACUGCACUUCAGAGCCAGAGCCAAAGACCACGUGAAGUCGCCUGUCUCGAGGAGAGAAAAUGACCUGGUGUUUUUUAGUUAUGAGGUUGCUACUACUCACCUUGAGAGAGAAAUUCACAUUAGUUUAACCAACCCUAUGUGCUUCCAAUUCAAUUCAAAAAACCUGAUGUUGUCAAAUAGAAACACAGGCCUUUACUCAUUUCUCAAGUAGAAUGAAAUGAAAUUGAUUGUCUAUAAAAUAUUUAUCAGAUCUAGGCUAGUGUUUGAAUUAGAAUAUCUCCUGCAGGCCUUAAAAUGUCCUCUCUCUGCUUAUUUCAUUAUUGAUUGGGCAGACAAAAUUUUUACUUAAUGCGGUGACCAUAAUGUGUUUACGGGGAUUAAUUUACUCACUCUCAAGGAUUAAUUUAAUUCUUUUAUGUUAGUAUUUUCCUGGGACUUUUUUUUCCCCAAAGGGUUGCAUCCAAAUUUAUUAAGACUGUUAUAUGGUUCACAAUAAUUUGGGUGUAAGUGAAUAAUUUAUGCCUGUGUUUGCCAAGCCUGGCUGCCCAUCAGAAUUAUGUGGGGAGUGUCUAAAAAGUACAGAUUCCAGGGUGUCACCCCAGACUCAGUGAAGCAGAAUUGCUGAAGGUACGGCCUGGGAAUUCUUCCGUUUACAGAUGCUCCCCAGUGAUGCAGGUGCAGCAGCCAGGCCCCUCUUAGUGGACUCGGGUUUUGGGAACUGAUCAACAUAGUUUAGUCCUGCGUAAUUUUAAGGUUAACAUGUUAUUGUCAUUAAGUGUAGAAUUUUCUGUUGCUAACACCACAUGUCCUUAUUUCUUUGCAUCCUUCUGUCCACGAGAAUUACCCAAGGACCCCUUCUUAUAUGAGAAGUGAAUUUCAGAGGAGGAGGACAAGCCAUACGAGGUGAAGGUGGUUCCGAGUGCAGCUGUGUUGUCACUGCCAGUAGUCACUGUGGAUGGAGGAGCCAGCUGGAGCAAGCAGACCAGCCACCUGAUGAGGUCUCUCUCUCUCCUGCCGGUCUGGUCUAGACUAAGCUCUUUGGGUCAGCAUCGCUCCAUUUGACUGGGUCCCUGAAGGCCCUCAGGAAAGCCAGUGCCUGGCUUCCUUCCAUGGCAGCUCCGAGGGGAUACCUAUGAUGUUUUACAAAAGUCUUCACACUUCAGGAGUGGUCUUCAAGGUCCAUAUGGGACUAUUUAAUCACUGAACAAAGGCAAGUUUCCACUUAACCCCUGGGCGUUUUUCAUUUGUCUAUUUCAAUCAUGAUACUUUGGAGCAGUGACCAGAUUCAGAUCAGUUUUGGUUCUUACAUUGGACAUUGUUUUGGUCUGACCAGCCUCCCUCUCCCUGCCCUUUGCCAACAGCUGCCAGACUCUCCUUCGGGGGAACGACCCUAUUCCAUGGCACACAGUCUUGAUGAAACUGUCAAUCAGGGAGGGGGCGAGAUCUGAGACCCAAGCUUAGCCAAUCAGAUUCUUCUGGGGAUCUGAAUCACGAGUGGAAUUAACAUCAGGUCAGAGAAAAAAUGCACGCCCAGUGAGGCACCGCUAAUUCCUGCUUCUUGGAGUAGCAUACUGAGAAGGUGUAGCCUUUGGUGUACGGGCUGUGGGGCCAGAUUGUUUGGGUUAGAAACACACUUUCUAUAUGAGACCUGGAGGAAGCUAGUUAACCUCAUGCCUCGGUUUCCUCAGAUUGUGAAAGGGGAUAAUAGUACUUCUCUCAUAGGGUUGUUGUUCGCAUCGCAUAAAUCAGUGCAUGGGUCUCAGGAGGAACACUUGUGAGGACACAGGAACCACUCUGAGUAUUUGAAGCAGAAAAGGAAUUUGAUGCAUGGAUUAGGAACAUAAAAAUCAGUGAAAGGCUGGAGAAGCAGGCUCCAGGCUGCAGGACUGGCUUCUGGAACACACUUCCAAACUGGCCUGCCAGGGGCGCUGUCUCUUCUGCCACCAUCAGGAAAGUGGACCAUCACAGGGACUUCAAGAACACAGUGCCACAGCUGUGACCCAGGGAGCAGGAAGGCACUUGGCUGCUCCUGUGACCACCUCUCAUCACUCAAGAAGCUGAGGACUGGACAGUGGAUGGUACUCUAUCCAAGAGCAUCAAGAUCACCAAGUGGCCUGGUGACUUGGGCAGUGCAAUCACAUAUGCUGUUGAGACUUCGACGGAGCCAAAGGAGAGGCAUCUGGACUGCAGCAACAUGAGUCUGACCGGGAGGAGAGAAGGAGGAUGAGGAAGCUAAUCCUGAUAGAGAUCCCACAGUCAGGUGUCCGCUGUGGGAGAGAGUGGGGGAACUCACCUGCCCUGCAGAAGGGGGUGUGUGGGUGUGGGUGGGGUGAGCUGAGCAAUGUGUUGGGCUCACAGACUGAAAAAUGAGCUGUGACUCAGGCUUCCAUUCAUACCAGGAGAUCUGACCUAAUAGCAGAACCCAUCACCAGAAUCUAGGCACUGGGAAUGUUCAGGAGCUCAGUGAGCAGAGAGUUCAGGGGUCCGCACACAGCAGGACCUCCCUAGUGAGGAGGGGGUGCUAGAGUGUGAGGAGAGGGACAUGUGAGGAGCAGGAGGACUUGCAGAGCUAAGCUGGGUCUCAGAGCCCCUUCUUCCUGUAAGUCACCACUGGGAUUGAGGCUGGAUACCAGUUACCCUGAGCAGAAACCACUAAACCAGCAUUUCUUUCACUGGAAUAGACUCCAGGCCUUUUUCGUUUGUUUAAUCAGAAGGAAAUUCUAUGUUAACUAGACUUUUUGUGGUGAUCAUUUCGCAAUGUAUACAAAUAUUGAAUCAUUAUGUUGUAUACCUGAAACCAAUAUAAUGUUACAUGUCAAUUAUACCUCAAUAAUAAAAAAAUAAAAUUCUCACAAGCUGAAUAUUGGAUUAAUGGGUUUUAUUGUCGCUACUUAAGU
Long non-coding RNA from Equus asinus (donkey), 17695 nucleotides. Lineage: Eukaryota; Metazoa; Chordata; Mammalia; Perissodactyla; Equidae. The record is from Ensembl.